Molecule: ribosomal RNA, 256 nt
Filed under: uncultured bacterium
Lineage: Bacteria
Description: partial 16S ribosomal RNA
Rfam family: Bacterial small subunit ribosomal RNA
Source: RNAcentral
UACGUAGGGUGCAAGCGUUGUCCGGAAUUAUUGGGCGUAAAGAGCUCGUAGGCGGUUUGUUGCGUCGGCUGUGAAAUCCCGAGGCUCAACCUCGGGUCUGCAGUCGAUACGAGCAAACUAGAGUGUUGCAGGGGAGACUGGAAUUCCUGGUGUAGCGGUGAAAUGCGCAGAUAUCAGGAGGAACACCGGUGGCGAAGGCGGGUCUCUGGGCCUUACCUGACGCUGGAGGAGCGAAAAGCCGUGGGGAGCGAACAGG